CGUCAACGACAGGGGAGCGCUUCGGCGCUGAGAGUGCGGGAGACCGCAGACCCUCACACCUGAUCCGGUUCGCACCGGCGUAGGGAGUCGAGUUCUCAGGUGA
Molecule: non-coding RNA, 103 nt
Organism: Knoellia flava TL1
Lineage: Bacteria; Bacillati; Actinomycetota; Actinomycetes; Micrococcales; Intrasporangiaceae
Source: Rfam